Xyrichtys novacula (pearly razorfish) is the source of this 12477-nucleotide non-coding RNA. NCBI's taxonomy places the organism in Eukaryota, Metazoa, Chordata, Actinopteri, Labriformes, Labridae. The record is from the annotation of a GenBank genome assembly.
GGUCAGCUCUCAUGCACAUGUCAAGAUAUUAAGCAGAGUCUGCCUAAAGGCUUUAACCUUUUAACAUGGCCGCGAGCAUUUCUCUCUCAAUCUUUAUUUUUACAUCUAUUUCACUUUUGGGGACAGCAUAUUAAAGGCACAGUGUGAGGUUUUUAGUGCCAUUGAGCAAAAUGCAUGUGUUCAUAUUUAGUAAGUGGCCGGUCUGGAGACUAAUGUUAUAACUUGGCUUGUGGGCCAUGACAAAAAGAUGGUAGGAACCAACAGUGCCAAAAAUAAAUAAGAUAUUUAUUAUGAAUUCAGAUGAAUAAACAGACGAACCAUAAUUAAGUAUGAGGUGUGGCGCAUCUGUAAAAUUAGUAGUGUGCAUGUGGGUGUGUGAGCAUGGUGGAGUGAGGAGUGUUGAAGAGUGCACCAACACAAGAUCCAAUGAAGGCUAGGUGUGAAGCUAGUCAGGCAUGAAGAGCAUAAGGGCAUAAGAGAGCCACAUCAGAGCCAAUCAGCUCAUCAGGCACCUUAGAAGAAACACAUACGAAUUAGUGUACCCAUCAGCACAACAUAGAGGCAGGGGAGCAGUGCUGGAAUCUGAAAGGUAGAUAUUCCUAAAUAGUCCCAUCUCUAGGCGCUGUACCUUUAAGGCUUUAAGCUGAAUAAUAUGUGUUACUGUUAGCACAAAUGCUCAUAUUGCACAAAAUUGUCUACAAAGUUUCGGAAUUGUAAGUUUGGUGUGUUUGCCUCUCUCAGAAUCAACUACACUUGAUAGUCAAGAAAAUUUUCUUUAGAGAGCACAGAUUGACUUUUUUUUGUAUUUAUUCAUUUGUCCAGAGUCCAGGUCCAGUUUAACCUUUUGGCUGGUAGCUCAGAAAGGCAGAAAGGGAUGAGAUCCUGUGGUCUGUGAUUUGAAGAGCCCUUUGUUUUCUGUACAACAAACCAGAAAAAGUUCUGUGCGAAGGGAGAGAAAGUUUAGUGCAGAGGACAACAGAUGUCUUGAAAAUGAUGGAACAAAGAAAAGGUUAAUCACCCCCGUGGGCUUGUUUCGUAUCACUUGACAAACAGAGAGCCCGUUGGCGAGAGGCAAUGACUUAUCCUCUUCGACCUCUUAACAAGUUUCUGUAGUUUAAUCUGUUUGGACUCAAAACUUUGAUCUCUCAGUGUGAGAAAAAAAGUAACCAACUGCACUGUCCUUUUAUUACUUUUAGAGAGUUGAAAACUCCCGUUGAAUUUUUCGAUUUUUUAUGACCAGGAGGAAAACAGUGGCCUUCAGUUUUCACUUGGUCAUAAUUUAAUUUUACACUCCUAAAAAUAGAUUUAGAGGGAAAUUACUUUAGUGACCUUCUGAAUUGCACUACAUGAGUAAUGAAGUAUUUCUUUACCCUGUGUAUAAUGUCAGGCUCCAUAAAUGGUCUCUGCUGCACAAAUGAACUGUCUUAUUCCUUAUUUAAAGCUGACAGCAUGUUGCUGGUUUGAUUACAAAAUUGUCCGCCCUUGUGUGAAACAUUGUACCCAAGCUGAAAUUUGGAGUGGAGCUUUAAAGACUGAAUAAAAGCAUCUACCUUGAUGUUAUAAAUCAGACUUUUCCAACUUUAAUUGCACCUUAAACAAAGAUAUUUAUUUGUACUGUAACCUUGAGGCUUUCACUUCUGCACAUUCAAAGAACUGUUAGCAAAAAAAAUUCAAUUCCCCGAAACACAGCUUCGCUUCAUGAAUGCAAACCCAAACCAUAAAGUGACGGCCAACCUCUACAGCUAUUAUCAGCAGAAAUAUUCUUCUACUACUCAUCUCAUAAUCUGGGUAAUUUCAUGCAUAACUAAACCACUGUGUCACAGAGCACUGUGAUAUUGAAUGCAUAUUAAGCAGAUAUCAUUAUCAUCACUGGGCAUCAGCCAUUAGUUUGAUGUCAAUGUGUUGGCUCACCAAUCUUCAAAUGCUUUUUUUUUCUGAUUGAUUGAACCACCAAACCUAAAUGAAAGUAAAUAAAUCAGCCAAUAGAAAACCACUUAACUGUGAUUCUCUUUAGCUUUCAAACGCAAUGAUCCUGAGAUUUUCAAGCAACCUCUUCACAACUUAAAACAACUGCUUUCUAAUGUCAUUAUCUCAGACCAAUUGUACCUGCAAAGAGUAAUAAGUGCAUGUGUAAUGGUGUGUGGGUUAUUCAUCUGCUACUUAAACACAUUCUAAUGAAUCUCCUUGAAGUGGAGGGUGAUGAAAUCCUGUAUCUAUUAACUUACAAUCACCUGCAUUCAUACAGCAUGUUCACUCUGUUGUUCAUAAUCGACCAUAAUGACCUCUAAAACAACUUUACAUCUUUUUAGUGUUUGUGCAAGCACCCUUACUAACAGAUUACAAUACAUACAGCAUAAAGAUUAAUGGCUGUUCACUGGUUUGCUAAUUUCUAGGGUUCACACAAUCAUCUACUGAGUGCAUUAACAUGCAACCUACAUAUUCAAGGCACCCAAGCAUGAUGUUUACAAAUCAGCACACCAGAAAACUGUUUGUUCUGUUUAAUCAGAACUGAGUGAGUUGAAUACAAAAUAUGACAGACAAGCUCAGAUUUGGUGAAAUGAAAUGGCAUGUUAAUCGUUUCCGUCAUGUUUUAAAAUUAUGACCGAUUAAUUGCCCUGCUGUGUUACUUAUCACCCAGCUGUGUUAAAUACUUAAUCUUGAUUGUUCAAAAAGACACACAAAAAAAAACAAUGAUUAAUAAUUCAGAAGAGCAAGAAAAAACACCUCCAGGGACCUCCAGAUCAAACAUGAUUUGACCUCUUCCUGUACAACCAAUGUACUGUAUAUGGGUAUAAAACAGCUUAUAACGGUGGCUAAUGGCUGACCAGCUAACAGCAGAAAAGAGAAGAUUAAAGAAAGAAAUAGCUGGGAAGCUGGGUAGGGCUUGCAUUGUGUUGAGAUUCUAGUGCCAAAAAGCAGACAUAUUUACAAUAGAUUUUAAUGAUAAUGACAAUGCUGAUGUGCAGAGUGAUAAUUAUAAUGUUGCCUUGAUUUAUUAGCAUGCAAUCAUUUGCUAACCAGGUCAAAACACAAGCUACAGCUUAGGCUAAUGGGGAUGCUUUCAGUUUUGAAGGUCAUUGAUUAUAAACGCAAGUACUGCUGGCCCAAUUGUAGGACUACCCAUUUCAAUACAAUACAAGAACUUUAUUUAUCCCUGAAGGAAAAUUCAUUUGUCUGGAAUCUCAGAUAAACUGCAGAUAAACCAAGUUAAGAUCUGACCUGCUCAGUGGUGGUAAGGCAGUAGCUCUCUAGGCUUCUCUGAUGUUGGUAUACAGCAGAUCCAGGGUUUUGUUUUCUCUGGUAGGACAGUUGACAAGCUGUGUAAAUCCAGUCAGGUGAGAGAAAAGGGUGACAUGGUUAAAGUCUCUUGAUAUAUUAUUACGUGUCUCAGGAUGUUGAGUCUGUAUCCUAGCAACAGUAUUAUGAAUAAAAUCACAUGGAAUUUCAGCCGUUGCCUUGGGUGGGAGGUAUACAAGUGCUGUUAUGAUAUGACUGAACUCCACUGAAGUCCUACCCUGGUAACAAGAAGACUCCCCAUUUCUAAAAAUCACUUUUUGAGGACUUUUUUUUUUCUUUUUUUAUAAAGAAAAUAAUUAUUGUUGACAAUAAUGAUUAAACACAUUGAAUAUCUUUAGAUAUGGAAUUUUCACAUUUAGGCUGAUUGGCAUAAAACACGAUUGUAUAUAGAUGAUGCACUGAUUGCAUCAGUAUUCUCUAAUAAUCAAAACAACCUGCAGACUAUUGAAAAGUCGGAUAUUUGUUUGAUCUGUUUCAUAAUGACAUACUCUCACCUGCCUUUUUUGACCGUCCUCUAAUGCUUGCCAUCUUUGGACAUUUAACUUUAGGGUAUCAUACUGGAUCUCUUAGCUGUUUGAUGUAUCUGCCACAUACACUACCCUUUAUUAAAGACAGGCAUCCUAACUUUGUCUCAGUUGUCUCUCACUUGGGUGCAACUAUGUUCAGCACGUCUCUUGGUCAUUCAUCACCUGUAGCAGUGACGCACGGUAAAAAAUGAGCACACUCACUUUACAGAGAAGUGGUUCUGUCUAUUGUUACAAAAAUUCAGAAUUAACUUCUAAAUCCUGAAUUCGAGGCACUUGGGGGGUAUUGCAGCCUUUGUCAAGAUUUGACAGGGAAUAUGGGAAGCAGAGAGCAGGGUUACAAUAUGUAGAAAAAGGUCACGGCACAGUACGACAAGCAGCACCCCAAACGAGUUAAAUUUCACCUGUUGAUGGCUUUGGGAUUUAUAGACUACAAGUUGACUUCUUCAAUCACCAGUCACUGCUGUGGACGGCUGUCAACUAGUCAUGUAGUCAAUACCACAAGGGAAGGGGGCUGACCUUGGCUCUCAUGUACAGCUGAAGGUUUAAUUAUUUAUUUGAUGGUUGAUUUGACAGGAACAAAUACAUGAGGCAUUGCUUCACAGUGUAUACACAGUGGAUGCCAUGCAUACACUUUUCUAACCAUGGCUAAUUUUCGGCCCCAGUCCCCCGGUAGACUUCUAUUCAUAAAAACAGAAAUUAUGGAGUAUUCAAAAUAAAAUACUAUUUGCUACUAGAGGUCCUCUGUUAAAUGAAAGGUUUUCUUGCCUCUGUGUCCUGAUGCCCGCUCAUUUGUGGAUUUACUCUUGGUCACAGUCAAUAAUAACACAAAGUACAGUCUUCAAACAGUCUUUGUGAUGAGGCAGUCUUAUGGUUUAUGAUGCACUUCAACCAUAACCAUAACAAUGACAGUAGAAAGUUAUCAGUGAGUACCUCAUGUUCAUCUAUGAGCAAGAGUAUAUUUCUUUUAUUGGUAAUAUUAUGAGAAGAUGAGGCUGCGCAUGUUGGCCACCUACUCACAAUGUCUUCGCUCUCAGGAGUGAGCCAAUAUAAGAAGCAUGAAGGGAAAUCUACAUUUUACUGAACCCCAUCUCAAAUUGCUGCAAUUAAUUGCAUUCACAAAGUGGAACAGAUGCUGAGAAGUGGUCGCAGCACAAUCAUCUCAUCACGCACAGAGCCCUUCACUCUUUUCCUCUCCUAUUCAUUUACAUGGACGACACGUCUUCUAUGUGUUGUCAUUAAGCUUACUUCAAUAUGAGUCACGAUUCUGCGGAGGUAAUUUUUCAACUCUCUGCCCUCGUUAUGAGACAGUUGGACACAAAGUUCACUUAACACCGAUAGUUUUACAGCUGCGGAGUGUUUAGAGCAACACAAAGCUAAUAUCCUCGCCUCAUGCAUUCACGUAGGUGGAGGCAGAUACAGUGUAGUGGGCCUAAUGAGAUAAACAUAACCCCUCUGUCAGAUAAGUGCUGUUCAUAUUAGUAAAUACAGGCGAAAUUGGGAUGUAAAAAACUGGCUUUUUUGAUGAAUUUUCAUGCCAGGAAGCAGACGGAUAUUUGGGGUCUUUUGGGCACCGAGUUGUUAAAGUUUUCAUGAGUUUAGAUAACAAACCGUUGGAGUAAUUACAAAUCAGAGCAGACCAGGAGGGGGCUGGAAAUCUACAGCCAGCAGUAAGAUGGCAAGAGGUAAAAUAUGGAGCAGCUGAUAGGGAGGAGAAACUCCUUGGGGAAACCUCAGUCAAGCGCUUGCAGAAGGUCCUGAGAUACAAAGAUAUGAGGUCUGUAAAUCUGCUGACUGGAGGCUGAAAAAGGAAGAGGAGAAAAUAAUAGGAGAUACUGUAAUUUAAAGAGUCUUACUCGGUUUCUUCCUUUUACGGUUAUACAAACUAGAUUGACUUCUUGUUUUCUUCCAGCAAAUCCAUUUUCAACAGAGACACCAUAUAUGAUCCCUGAGAUUAUGUUUUGGGUACGUAAACACAACGGCACCAAGAAUUCAAGUUGAUAUCUAAUUUCAGCAGACCAGGUACUUUUAGUAGGCAGUGGGGUAAACAGUUACUGAGCUCCUAUUUUUUUAAUUGGGGGAGAAAAAUGUUUGAAAAAUGAUGGAAAUUUAAUGACUUGGUCCUAUUUCAAAAGAGGACCUGUGAGUUAAAAUUUAAACUGUUGAUGAAAACAGGCUGUUGAGCACAUCUUUCAAUAAACACGUCGUGAAUAUGCAUGACUUUAACUCUGAUUCUUGUGGGUUAAAAUCUCGAAGUUUUCACAUUCACAGUCUGUUCUGUCCUCCAGCAUCUCAUUUGACCCAGUUCUGCAGAGAGAAAAGGUGAAGACGCUUCAAAAACUUAAAGCUGCAAGUGGAUUUCAGUCAAGGGGCAGAUCCAGGCUUUGUUCCCUGGGGUUGCCAAACCGCGACAUAGAUUUGUCGAGGUGACCAGGUGUGGGACACCGUAGGAGCUUUACCCCCAAACCUCAGAUGGUUAUUACUAUUUACUUUAAAGAAACUAUGUGUAAUUCAGAUACCUAAAUGUCUGACGAUAUCAUAAGUCCUGAGCCACCCUUAUCCACCCCACUGCUUCAAUCCAGUUUCGAGUUUGCCAAUUCUGCACCUCAGGUAAUCAGUUUUCCACCUAUGGUGUGGGAAUGUUUGUGUUGUGGAUGAGGACCCUGUGGGCAUGUAGCAGAUAAAUUGUCCAGAAACAUAGAUCAUGAGAUUAUUCUAUGAGUGAGUGACUCCUGAGGACCGCAUUAACAAGAGCCAUCGAUGCCACCGCUCCAAUAAUGAGCGUGUCAGCAUCAUCACGGUGGAUAAAUGAGUCAGUAAUGGAGUGAAGGAACAUGGCCCUUCUCCUUACACUGAGGACACAAGGCAUCAAGGGCAAUAAGAUGUUUUCAUUGACCUCCUUUUUUUUACAAUGAGAAAAGUCACUCUGACCUUCUUCCUAGUCUUUCCCGAACUGAACACUGUGUAGAAGCAGAAAUACAUUUUCCUGAGAGGUUCUUUUUAAAACAGCUGAUUUGACACAGUUCUUUGACACCUCUCAGCCGUGUGAUUAAUGAUUUAUUGUGUAAGAAGCGAGCCCUCUACUUUACAGGAACAGCAGCUGUGGUCAGCUCGAAAUCCUGUCGGACAAAGUGAGAUGUGUUUAAAGAGCUUCUCAAACCACUCAACAUGAGACACUUCUAUACUGUAUUUCCUGGAUAUAUACUCAGUCUUGUACCUCUGUUUGACUCAUGAAGAACUUUUUUCCAAUCUUUGUGCAAAGCUAGACUUUUUAUUCAUCUUUUAGACACAACAGAGGUAUAAGUGCUGUGAUUUACCUCUCUAUUUGCAAACACACUCUCAUGACUAUCAUCACCUAAGUGGUUAAAGGUAUAUGUCAGGUGUUCAUCUGUGUAUUGAUGUCAGACAAAAAGUCUAACACGGAGAUUAAAGCUGAUAAACUCAUUAUCGCUUGUGCUCGUCGCCUUUGAUUUCUGGCCUGAGGGUGCAGGAGUCAAAUCCAGCAGAGUGAGUUAAGAUGCAGCAGAGACCAGGAGCCAUAAAUCAAAAAGGGGUUUCAUCCUCAACUUUUGAGAGAACUUUGACAGAGCUGUGAGGGGUGCAUGUCAACAUCAAACCAGGUAAACUUUUGAAACUGCUUUUUGAAUACUAAGUGCUCGUUUUUAAGGCAAUUCAUGAAACUUACAAGGUAAAGUUAGAGAAAAAGUAUUUUAAUGUCAUAAAAUAAAGGGACAAUCUGUCACACUAUUUACGGUAAUAGAUCUGUUAGUUUAUUUUAUUACAAUAUGUCAAUGUUUAAAGAAGUGAGACAACUUUAUUCGGUAAUGGCAUCUCAAAAUGAUGCACUACUCUCUCUGGGAGGUGAAUGGGUACUUCUUCUAAGUGUAGGAUCUCAGUAUCUUUACAAGUUAACAAAUACAUUGUGGGUAAAAUUCAUAGAGAUAGAGAGACAUAUCUAUGUGGCUUCAGCAAUAAUGCAAUGUUGCACUGGACCAUUGGGGUGAGGAGGGAGCUAAGCCUGAAGGCAAAGCUUUCGAUUGAGCAGUCAAUCCACGUACUGACACACACCUGUGAUCAUGGGCUGUGGGUAGUGACCGAAAGAAUGACAUUGUGGAUCCACGUGGCUGAAAUGGGUUUCCUUUUAAGGGUGGAUGAGCUCAGCCUUGGAGAUCAGAACAGAGGCUUAAAUAUUCAGGGGAAGCUUAGAGGAGAGUUUCCACCCCUUUGCAUCAAGAGAAACCAUUCCAGGUGAUCGGAGUCUGUGUGCCUCUCUUUGGGGGUAUGUCACACUAGAAGGCAUGGGGACACCUCCGUUACUGGACGAAGGGAUGUUUUGGGCAACUUCGCCUGCUGCUACUGUGACCCAGGGUUAAAAAGCCUGAAGGACGGUAUGAUAUACUGUGUUAUUAUGAAGCUGUCUCUUUUUGCCUGUUGGUCUGUCCCUCAGAAAGGAAAAGGAAUGUGGGGCCAAUGUUUCCUACAUAAUGUAGUGACAGUUUCAGUUGUAGGUGAAUUUGAGGUCGGUCUAUAUUUCAUAAUGAGAAAUAAGAAACUUUGGCAGCUACUGUGCUGAACAGAAAAGCACCAGGAGCUGACUCAGGGCCCAGGGGAUCAGGAGGCCUUGGUACAGGGUCAUUUUUAAUGUUUUUUUUUAUAAAAAGUCGAUAAAAAACUACAAAGACACAAACAUAACCACAGAGAAAUGUGAAAUAACAAAAAACUAUUCAAUAAAAGAUGUAAAUUUACUAUGGUAGGACUGAAAAUGCGCAUGGAGUUGUGCUUAACCACCCAAAGGUGACAGAAAGUAAAAGAAAAAAACAGACACAAAACCACCAUGCACUUGCAAACCAACCACAAACAGAAGAUAACUAUAAUAAGAAAUGCAAAAAUGACUACAUAACCAUGUAGGCGUAAUGGAAGACACCAAAGAGAGAAAAAAAGAUAACAAGAGGCAGAAAAUGCCACACAGAGAAGCAAAACAACCACAGAGAGUAACUACGCAACUGCACAAAGAUGCAAAAUGACCACAAUAAGACACUAAGAGGCCCAGAGCAACCAAAAAAUGUUGCUAAAUAGCCCCACAAAAACUCCACAUAACACAUAAUGGUGGAAAAUUAAGGUAAAGAACCACAAUAAGACAAGAGACGAAAAAAAAUGUUUCCUUUUAUGAUCAGGUGCCAAACUCAACUGCAACAGAUCAGAUGGACUUCCUGAAAAACUGCUUAUUCUCACUUGUCGUCACUUAGUCCUGUUUUCAUCCUGUCAUUGGUUUUCUCUUACAAUUUCAAAGGGCGAUGUGAGCUUCCAUUUGGCUUCCUCGAUUUUCACUUUCCUCACUUCUCCGCAGUCAGAAUUUCAAUGUCUCCGCAUGGCUGACCCCUUCUUCUCAGCAAGCUUGUGUUGGUAAUAGAACGCUACAUUAGGGCCAGCCCUUGGACUCUGCCUUCUACGUGAAGCAAGAUACCCCUGUCACUUCUCCUGAAACACCUGCACAUCACAGAAAGGAGGGAGGAGAGGAGAUGAAAAGAAGGAGAUGGUGGAGAUGGGUUUGUGUUCCUGAAUGACUUGUUGAUCAAAUACAAGAACCCGUCUUGUGGCAGGUGCAUUGGGUAAAAUACAGCAGCUCUUAUAGUGAUGGGGUUUCAGGCAGCCUUUCAUUCAGAGAAGGCAAGAAAACGAAAAUAAACGUCAGGAACAAAGACUGCAGCAUCUAAAAUAAUCGUGAAAAGCAAUGGAUGCUGGAGCAGAUCUACUCUGGAUGAUGAAUGGACUGAAAAGAGGCUCCUGAAGAUCUCUUUCCAGUCUUUUUCACAAGCACAGACCCAAAAACUAUUAGGAUUUUUCCUUUUCUAAUCCAGACUCUAUAUUUUUUCUACAAAUUGUCAAAUAAUCUUCACACGAUUGUGUCCGUUCAUCCAUUCGUCUUAUUGUCAACUUGUCACCCGACUGUAUUUGUGUGCCCUUGAGCCUGAGCAUGUGCGUCGUCUUAUUCCAGUUUAACGCUAACAGGCACUCGCAGAUUAAGAAAAUUGUAUUGGAACAAUACUCAUAAUAGACUUUAGCUGUGUGCUGCCAGUGGGGUGACACCCCUAUUAUACAGACAAGUGGAGCACGGCGUAGGGCUGUGUCAGCAUGAUAAAACCGCUUAGAGGUACAGGCCUGACAGCAGGAACAGCAAAGGGGUGCCAUCCACGGAGCUCCGCCAUGCAAAUGUGAUUGCUGGAGUAGAGCAGGUAGAGAAAAGGAAGUAUUUAUUUAUUGAGACGAUGAAACUUUGCUAUGAAAGUACCUCCUUUUACCAAUGUCAGACAUUGGCCUUGAAAAUAAACAACUUCACUUCAUAACCAGAAACCAGACCCACUUCUGACACUCAAAUCGCUUACAGAGGCAGCUUUAGAGGGUAAAUAAGAUAAUUGUUGUAGUUGGUUUGUUUACUCAGUUUGAGCUUUAAUUCAUUAAUAAAGUGGUUGAAGAAGAUUUAAGCUGCAGUCCGAAGACCCUGAUUGAUAUUGAUGCUUGAGAAAAUUGAUGAUCUCCUCACAGUAUGAAUUCCUGUACAACUUCCUCUAACAUGUCCUUACGCUAAACAUUACAUGCGUCCUCAUCCAUAGCUCACAUCAUUCUUAUUGUUGUAAACAGAAAGGGUGAUUUUGAUUUGUUAGCUCUAUCAGCGUCCCUUAGUUCCUUUAUUAAACAGCAUUUCAGCCUCAACCCCUGUCAGUGUGAUUUUAAAGACAGGACUCUUUCCUGAUUGGUCAAUACUCCAUAGCAAUGGUCUGCUAUUUCUCCAUAGUAAAAUGUUGCUAUGGAGAUCAAUUCUCACUCUACAUGUCAAAUCAAAUCGAUUGACCAAGAGGUUUUCUAAACAUUUUGGGUCUGCCUGUUGACACCGUGGCAAAAAUUGGAGUUUUAUCUCACUUCCCCUAAUGCUAUUCUUUUUUACAGGUAUGAACAGAAGAGCGCUCUAGUCUCCCAUGGAUUCUGUGUCACUGAAUGCAUCACAGAAGCCGUAAAGCUGUUAAGUCAGAGCGUUUAUAGUCUUGUUUUGAUACAUGGACAUAAAAAUAGUUCUGCUAGUCUUUAGUAUGAUUCAGGUGCUCAGUUCUUAUGAGAGUAUGGGGGGAGAAAGACCCAUCGUGAAGAUGCUUGUUGCUUUACAUGAUCCUGAGUCCGAUCAGAAAGUAGAAAAGAUUGAAGUUGAUCCCCAUAAGAACAAAUCUCCACAUCUCACCGCACAAGCAAGAAUGUGUGAGAUAUUUUUCAGGAGCAGUAGCAUCCAAAUUAAAUUAGUAGCAGUAAAAUAUCUGCAUCAAACAAAUAAUGGAGGAGUAGCCCUGAGCAUGAAAUUUAUCACAUACCAAAUUCACAUUUGUUUACAUUCACUGCAAUAAGCCAUAGGUGUCUGUGUGGGCACGUAUGCAUUUGGAAAUACAUAUAUUAAGGGGUCUGUAUUUGUCACAGGCCAUCCAGUGUAUUUGUGCUGUCCCUCUUAGGCUUCUUGGCACUGCUUCACCUCAAAUGCUAUCAACUCCCUCUGAGCACAGCUAUUUGUCAUUUGUAAGAUUUCCACAGGGUGUUUUCUUUCUACUUUUUAAUCAAGGCUUGGAUCCCAUGCUGAGAGGCCUAUUCAGCUAUGAAACAAGGCCCUGUCAUCCCCGGCUAACGACAGGCAUCUGUAGCAGAGAGAGACGCUCCCAGACAAAUGAGCUCCUCUCUCUCUCUCUCUCCCUCACACACGCACACACAAACACAUGCAAGCUUGUACAAGAUGAACACAAGGGAAGAGGAACGAUGCUAGAUAGACAAACACUAUAACUAUCUAAAUGGAGUAGCCUGUCAUGUGCUGAACAGCAGGCUUUUAAACACAGUAGUUUGCUAAUGUAAAUAUUUGUCUUGUGCUGCAGCAAAGGAUUAAUGACUGUAGUUUACUCUGUUCAGUCCAGACAGUAAUUUAACGAGCACUAAAAUGCCCAGUUAAUUCAAAAUUGGCCUCAUGAUCUUUCUUUUUUGUUAACAAUCCAAUCCAUGUAAAGUCUAAAAGUAUAUUAAAUAGUUUUUCAGACAGUGAACAGCUCAAAUAUUAAUUGUAUAAAAAGAUAAAACAUAAAAAUGCAUAUUAAAAUGAGCAAAAGUCCAGAUUUUUUCACUCCACUAAACUUCGGCAAUAGUAAUUUUAGCGCUCAGUUUUUGAGGGAAAAAGGCAGGUUAUCUUUAAGUCCCACUCUGAUUGUUUUUUUUAUUUUUUAUUAUUACUGUGUUAUUAGUGGCUAAAAGUUUUUAGCCAAAAUCAUGUUACUUGUGUCAUUUUCAAGGGCCUUUCUUCUGCAGAGCUCCAGUAGCUCAUUAGCAAUGCCCCUCUGAACCGUGGGCAGAGACAGCGCUGCUCUGCACACUUCUCCUCGAGUUAGCUUGCAGCCUAACAUUGCCGGUGUAGUAGAAGAAACAGGUAACAUAGGAGCUAUUCAGCUCUCUGACACUAAUGUCUUUAGGGGCAUGAUGAAAGCUAAUAUAAGAAUUAGCUUUCUUAGGAGGAUUUCAAUCCACCAACGCAGACGCUUGUUCCGUGAUCGUCUUCUCUAUUUCUCCAAGCCUGGCCUGCAUAGCGAGGGCUACGGGGCGGAGCUUGGAUUGGUUACAUAGGAAAUCUCACUGUAUC